Molecule: ribosomal RNA, 253 nt
Filed under: uncultured bacterium
Lineage: Bacteria
Description: partial 16S ribosomal RNA
Rfam family: Bacterial small subunit ribosomal RNA
Source: RNAcentral
UACGGGGGGGGCAAGCGUUGUUCGGAAUUACUGGGCGUAAAGGGCUCGUAGGUGGCCAACUAAGUCAUACGUGAAAUCCCUCAGCUUAACUGGGGAACUGCGCCUGAUACUGGUUGGCUUGAGUUUGGGAGAGGGACGCGGAAUUCCAGGUGUAGCGGUGAAAUGCGUAGAUAUCUGGAGGAACACCGGUGGCGAAGGCGGCGUCCUGGACCAAUACUGACACUGAGGAACGAAAGCUAGGGGAGCAAACAGG